UCCCUGGUGGUCCAGCGGUUAAAACUCUGCACUCCCAAUGCAGGAGGCCUGGGUUCAAUCCCUGGUCAGGGAA
RNAcentral lists this transfer RNA (73 nucleotides) under Bos taurus (domestic cattle). It matches the Rfam family "tRNA". From Rfam's summary of the family: Transfer RNA (tRNA) molecules are approximately 80 nucleotides in length. Their secondary structure includes four short double-helical elements and three loops (D, anti-codon, and T loops). Further hydrogen bonds mediate the characteristic L-shaped molecular structure. tRNAs have two regions of fundamental functional importance: the anti-codon, which is responsible for specific mRNA codon recognition, and the 3' end, to which the tRNAs corresponding amino acid is attached (by aminoacyl-tRNA synthetases). tRNAs cope with the degeneracy of the genetic code in two manners: having more than one tRNA (with a specific anti-codon) for a particular amino acid; and 'wobble' base-pairing, i.e. permitting non-standard base-pairing at the 3rd anti-codon position. Lineage: Eukaryota; Metazoa; Chordata; Mammalia; Artiodactyla; Bovidae. RNAcentral also lists the same sequence under 3 other names. The record is from Rfam by way of RNAcentral.